CCCAACACCCGAUCCCAUUCCGAACUCGGCCGUGAAACGCCUCAGCGCCGAUGGUACUGCGUCUUAAGACGUGGGAGAGUAGGUCGCCGCCAGGU
This 95-nucleotide ribosomal RNA is filed under the name Azospirillum brasilense. Lineage: Bacteria; Pseudomonadati; Pseudomonadota; Alphaproteobacteria; Rhodospirillales; Azospirillaceae. The record is from RNAcentral.